This 253-nucleotide ribosomal RNA is filed under the name uncultured bacterium. Its description in RNAcentral is "partial 16S ribosomal RNA". It matches the Rfam family "Bacterial small subunit ribosomal RNA", at positions 524 to 776 of the family's 1533-position model. The record is from RNAcentral.
GACGAACCGAGCGAACGUUGUUCGGAAUCACUGGGCUUAAAGGGCGCGUAGGCGGGUGCUCAAGUCUGUGGUGAAAUCCUCCGGCUCAACCGGAGAACGGCCAUGGAUACUGGGUGCCUCGAGGGUGAUAGGGGUAUGCGGAACUAUCGGUGGAGCGGUGAAAUGCUUAGAUAUUACAUGGAAUACCGAUUGCGAAGGCAGGUUACUAUCAAUACAUUGACGCUGAUGGACGAAAGCGUGGGGAGCGAACAGG